This 524-nucleotide long non-coding RNA is filed under the name Ovis aries (sheep). RNAcentral describes it as "lncRNA (ENSOARG00000025295.1)". Lineage: Eukaryota; Metazoa; Chordata; Mammalia; Artiodactyla; Bovidae. The record is from RNAcentral.
AUGCCCAUUCACUGGAUAUUUGGAAAUCGUGUAAUGCUAUUGGGGACCAGAGGCCAGAGAGGGCAGACACCUGCCUUAGGUCACACAGCAAGACCUACUCUGCCUUCUCUACACAGUGUCUCCUCCCAACCCCAAAUGCCCCUGGGUGGGGAUCUUUUAUUUUUAACCUGGUCAGUGGACACAUCGCCUUUUUAUAGCCCUGGAAGGCGCCCAGGGUUUCCAAUUUCCAAAGGAAGUUUUUUAAAAAAAUGGUCCUCUUCCUGUGAAAAGGAACGGCCUGAUCUCUCAGGGUCACCUGCAUCCAGGUCUCCAAGCAGCUAAAAACUGGACACAGCCACUCAGGAUGCCAGCCACGCACCUGUGCCCUCGGGCGUGACUUGUGACGUGGAAGCGGCCUGUGGUUUUUAACUCAUAAAUUGUGAAAACCAAAGCCCAAACUGACCAUGCUAGGUUUUGCUGGGUGAGAAGCAGCCUGGCCCCUAAGAAAGGCUGAGUGAACUAUCAGAAAGAAACAUACUGUCACC